CCUACGGGUGGCUGCAGUGGGGAAUAUUGGACAAUGGGCGAAAGCCUGAUCCAGCCAUGCCGCGUGUGUGAAGAAGGCCUUCGGGUUGUAAAGCACUUUCAGUGGGGAAGAAAGCCUUGGGGCUAAUACCCUCGAGGAAGGACAUCACCCACAGAAGAAGCACCGGCUAACUCCGUGCCAGCAGCCGCGGUAAUACGGAGGGUGCGAGCGUUAAUCGGAAUUACUGGGCGUAAAGCGCGCGUAGGCGGUCUGAUAAGCCGGUUGCGAAAGCCCCGGGCUCAACCUGGGAACGGCAUCCGGAACUGUCAGGCUAGAGUGCAGGAGAGGAAGGUAGAAUUCCCGGUGUAGCGGUGAAAUGCGUAGAGAUCGGGAGGAAUACCAGUGGAGAAGGCGGCCUUCUGGACUGACACUGACGCUGAGGUGCGAAAGCGUGGGUAGCAAACAGGAUUAGAUACCCCUGUAGUC
Molecule: ribosomal RNA, 465 nt
Filed under: Vreelandella stevensii
Lineage: Bacteria; Pseudomonadati; Pseudomonadota; Gammaproteobacteria; Oceanospirillales; Halomonadaceae
Description: partial 16S ribosomal RNA
Rfam family: Bacterial small subunit ribosomal RNA
Source: RNAcentral